UUUUUUUUUUUUUUUCUGUCUAGUUUCCUAUUCUAUAAGUAUCAGAUUUCCAACAGAUAUCUAAUAAGGAGAAAAAGAAAAUUUUCAAACUGCAUGAGCAUUUUAAGGAAAAGGCUAGCCCCUGUAGCCAUGUUCUUGAAACCAAAUGCAGAAUAUUGGAUCUAAAUAAUUUGGUAACCCCAGAAAACUGCAUAAUAUCAUAAUUCAGAAAACAUUUUGAGUGAUAGGAGAAAGGAACCUGGAGGGGCUCAUUCUCAUCAGUUGAACCAAGCAUCUCAUUCACCAGAAUCUGUCGUUCCUCAAGACUACCAAAAGUCAAACACUUUUCGACAACAUUUGAGGCAAACUUCUGCAGACUCAUCUGAACUAUCUGUCCAGCUAACUUCUUAAUGAUGCAAGACUUCUCGCUAGGUUUCCCAUGCUCCAAAACAUGCUGUCAAAAAAUUAAUUUCAAAUCUGAAGAAAUUACAAGCAUACAGAAUAAAAACUGCAAAUGCUGCACAUGAUGAAACAUUAACUAAGAGAUGAGCAAGUAAAACACAAGCCAUGCAGGUUUCAUGUAUACAUAUUACACAAGCUGUAAAGAGGAACAGAACGGCAGAAUAUUUCUAGAUCUUCAAUAAUGUACCAGUUUUCCUGAAUUAUUGUUUUUUGAACAGCAGAAUCUUAUUCUCUAUCAAGCCUAUCUGGAUUUCUCCUUAACAAAGGAGCGAAAGAUUGAGAAAAUUAUGUUACUCAAGUCCUCUCACUUAACCAAGAAAAGAAGAAAAACUCAUGAUCCAAACUAUAGAAUGAAAUUAUGAUUCUUAAAAAACCAAUGCUCUUUCAUUAUGAGUUGCCAUUCAUGCCACUUCAACUUGUUUGAUAAAUGUAACUCAUGAUUUUGGGUAAGAAAUCAAAAGCAGAAAAUCUCGGUAAAAUAUGGCCCACAAAACUUAUAUGCAGAUGCCUAUAUAAGAUUAUCAUCUAAAAGUAUAUCCAAAAAUGACCUUGUGCAACUAUGUUUUUUUCGUAAUCACAAAAAUAUUUGCUCAAGGAUAUGCUAUAGGGAAGAAAAACGUCCCUUUGGUACGUCAUCACAUUAGUUGAGCAGUGACAACAAUUAGAAGGCACUGCAUUGGUCAUCGUGAACAAUCACUAGGACACAUAUAAAACUGCACAAAACUAACAGAAAACUUUAUCUUAGAUUGAAAUUAUGGAAGCUAAGAAUUGCUACUACUUGAUAAAACAUGAACCUUCUCUGAUGCCAAAUGUCGCUAACUGAUGUAUUUAUGACAAGCAUUAAAAAGAUAAUCCAGAUAGAGAAGGAACCUGGACAACAUAAUUUCCGUACUGGUUUUGGGCCAACAAGCAAACUGAUUGCAAGAUCUCUCCCAUCACAAUCUGCUGAGUCUUAUUGUCAUCACAAUACUCCAGGACUCUCUGAAACAAAAGAAAUUUGUUAAGCAUGAAGUACAGGCAGCAGCAUGCACAUAGCAUCCAUAUUCUGAAGAAUAAUAAAACCCAAGGUCAAUAAACCUGUAUGACACGACAGCCAUAUGGAUGAGUAGAUAAUGUCACAACUUGAUCAUAGAAGGUUGAUAUGAUGAACUGAAUUGCAUCCUGGGGAACACACUCUAUACAUUUCUGAAUAACAUGGUUUCCAUUCUGGUCACGUACACAACGCAUGAUGUGUCCAUCAAGCUCCAAAACCAUUUUUUUCUUCUGGUCCAAAUCAGCGACUUCUAUGGCCUGUGCAAUAGGUCAAUAAGUUGAUUUUCCAACACUAACUAAGCUUUUAACAAGGAACUUAAUGACCAGGAAGUCAAACAGGAGAAGAAGAACUCCAAAUACAAUUUAUUAGCAAAUGCUCUCUUCAAAAAAAAAAAAAACUCGACAUUGCUUUUCAAUAUAGAAAAGCUUAAUUUCAUCAGUUAAACGUGUAUUCAUUCAAAUAUGGGUGAUGUGCAUUAUAUGCUUUUGUCUCUCACAUUGGUGUAGGAUUUUGAAGUUUAAUAUUACAAGAGAGAAGAAAGUGACUAAAAGGUUUGUUUCCCAUCACGGACAAAUCUUCACAAUCCAACUUUCUAUGGAGUAACAACAAAAGUCACAAACAUACGAAAUCUCAAACAAAGAAAUUUGAAAUAAUCAAGUCAUCAAAUGUAUGGAGCUGUCUACGACUAAAAUACCUUUUGAAUUACCCGACAACCAUACAUUUGAAGGCUGAGAGCCAAAACAUGUCCAUUAAGCUGGUCAGCCAGUUCUCUUCUCUGAGCUGCAGAUCCAUGCUCAAGAAACUAAAACAAGACCAAAUGUAAGCUAUUCUGGUACAUAUGUGUUACAUAAAUAAUUUAAACUUGACAGUUAAACUGUUGAAGAGUCUAAUUGCUAUACCUUCUGUACGACAUAAUUGCCAAAAACAUCAGUCAUCAAAGACAGAGCACCGGGCAUGAUUUCUUCAAAAACCAUGUUUUUCUCUUCGCGUGUAGCUGUUUCAAGUUUCUGCUGUAUAAAACGACUUCCAUACUGGUCACCGCUGCACACAUACAUGAAAAAUUAACAAUUUCAAUUGACACAAUGACCAUAACAUACUCUAAGAAAAUUAAAAUGCAAACUAAUACUUCAGAUCACAGGUAAAUGAUGGCAAAAUUAAUUGGCCAUUGUAAAGCUGGAUCCAAAAUGCAACCAGAUGUGAACAUUUAGUGGGAUGAUCUGACAAUUCAUUAGUUGCACAGUCCAAUUUAACUUUAUAGAAAAAGAAGUGAUUGCUUACAAAAAUUCUAGAAAAAUCUUUAUUUAACUAAAGUUGAUAUUUUCUUGCUCCAUGUUAAAUAAACUACAACUAGUUGUAACUAUUUUCAAGGCAUCUAUUUAAGAUUCUAACAUGAACUUUAGUUAACAAUUUGAAAUUUAUCCAACAAUAUUGCUAGCUAGACCUCUGUACUGCAGUAAACUAGCUGUUCUGUCAAAAAAAAAAAAGCAAAAAAAAAAGCAUAUAGACUUGAGAGUAGCAUUUGAGUUCGAAAUACCUAAACUCAACCACGUGGCCAGCAAUCUCAGCAAGUUCAAAGCAUCUGGUCUUAUUGUUCUUGAACUCCUCUAAAAGUGAGGAAGGAAAAUGUUCAUCCAUGUUACGAGUGGGAUCAAAAUGCCAAGCUCCCAUGAUACCUCCAUUCAGAUUUCUCAACCCGUAAGGAAACUGCAUGGAGCGCUCACCAAGCCUGAGAGGGCUGCCAGGUCCAACUGGGGAAUCAAUUUGUCCUGCUAAAGGGCUUCCUGGAUAUGCUAAACCCAGGGCAAAAGCAGGAUUGGCAUAGUAACCCUGAUUCAGAGACCCAGAUUUCCCAAGAAGAGGGAUGCCAUACUGUUUCUGCGAUUGAAGUAAUGAUUCAAUGUGAGCUUUCUGGAUACCAGGUAAAUCUGCACAAGAGUUGCCUGUGUAACCCCUCUCCAUGGAAGAAUCACCAUAGGUAGCAGCAACUUGUGCAGUAUAUUCAGCAGCCCUAAUAUGCUGAACAUAAAGAGGGUCAUUAAGUUGUGCUCGGACAGCUGCUACUGCUGAUUGAUUACCAAUUUGACUGAUAUUUUGCAAGUCCGUUAGGCCAGCUAAACUUGGCGGUGCAAAAAUACCACAUCCAAAAGCCCCGGUGUCCAUAGCAAGAGAUGCAAUUGCUGAAGCAGAGGCAGCGCUUCCUAAUAAAGGAUUCAUGGUUCCUGUGCCAAUCUGAUUCUGCAGGAUUGAAGGAAAUGAAGGAUUAACAGCAUAAGCACUCAAUCCACUUCCAGAAAAAGCUGUGUCUACACUCUCAAGGUUCUGAUAGUAACCAGAUGAACCACCAGGACUAGCAACCAGAGGUAAAGGUGCUUUCACAUAUGAAUUGGCAGACGACAUAGUGGAUCUGUGUGGUUCGCUUGGAUCAUUGACUCUCAAGCUUGAAUUUCUUGCCUCCAUCUUACAUCCAGCAGUGGAAUCAGUGUACGAAGACUUCAACGAAUGUGGAGGAGAGGAAACUCUAAAAGAAUGUGGAUCGGAGUUCUUCAUGAUAGAGCGUGUUUCUUGAUUGGCUAGAGAAUCAAAAAAAAAUUUCCGGUGAUCAUCCAACUCACUUUGAAGCUCCGAUUGAGAUACAUUUGCAGCAGUUACUGCACCAUCAGUUGACAAGCUAAAAUGUGAUAAUGCAGCUAUAAGGUCAUCAGAUUCAACUGUAGCCGAUAGAUUGACUUUGUCUUUGUGGCCAUCGGCACCAACGCUCAGACCAAAAGGUGACGAACAAGGACUAGGGGCCCUUGCAACCAGCUGAGGGUCAGGAGUGGUGCUUUUCUCAAGGGAUGGACCUUCAACAGCUGCAAAACCAUGUGGAAGUCCAUUGAUGCACUGGACGUAUUCACCAGUUUGCUGCCUGCCUAAAGCUAAGACUUGAUUGUUUAAAGAAAACUGGGAAUCAGCAGAACUUAAUGCUUCAAGACUAUUUGCAUAUGCAUUACGACUUUGCGGGCGUGAUGGAUGGUUUGAUAUGGGAGUUCUGCUCCCAAAGUCAUCCUGAGAAAAAUAACAGCAAUAUAACCAGAAGUACAAGUUGAUCUAUGAUUCACACUGUCCAUAAAAAAAUGAAGUGAAAAAAGGCAAGAAGAAAGGAGAAAGAUUUGACCAAUUACAAAUCCUAGGACAAAAUAAAUGAAUGAAAAUCAUGAACAUAUGCAACUGCAAACUGCAACAAAUAGAUCUAGCACCUUACAUAUGCAACUGCAAACUGCAAAACCUUGAACAAGUAAUGCAUGAUGACAUAGGAGAAAUGCUAGCAAACACAAUAGAUCUAGCACCUUCCAAAUUAUAUGCACUUGCAAAAAAUUGAGAUUGCAUAAGCAGCAAUAGUGAAAAAUCAUGCCAAGUGCUGGAACUGCUUUUUUGUUUCAAAAAAAAUACCAGCUAUCAAUGAAUCAUAAUUCAUAAUGUGAACAAAGAUAAAGACCAGUCACAUUAAAAACUUCUGUUUACAACAACUCCAAAUGGCACAGUUGUAUUAAGUUUAGCCAAUUUUGCAAUUCAAAAUUUUAAUUAAUAAUCAUUAAUUGCUAGUGAUAUUACCUGGUUCAAGUUUCAGGAGAUUUGGGAUUGGGUUUAAACUAAAUUCGGCCUCCUGGUGAACUCACUAACACAUUCAAAUCACUGAUAGUAUCAUCCACAUAACAUACAUAAUGUUUUUGGACUGCUUUGCAACAAUAACAACCAAGUUGUAUGUCACUUGCAAUCUGUCUCAAAUAACGGACAAUUUUAGACAUCACAACAGGCAAUUGUAUUCGCUAAUUCCAUGUCCACUAAACACACUCCCAAUCAUUUUCCAGGAAUCCAGCAGCAUGGUAUCUGAUGAAUACCGCAGUCUUAUGGAGAAUCAUAUUGGUCAAAUGCCCAGACUAAUAUACAUCGGAGCAUAAAGGUAGCUGCACCUAAUUUGAGAUUCUUCACCAAAGGAUCCUUCGUUUAUAACCAAGAUAUGAAAGAUCACUUCGGUAAAAGUUCAUGCCUUGUUAAUUUUAGAGCAAGAGAAUAUGCGCUGUAAGCCAAAAGAAAUGAUAUGUGGUGGAAAAGUUGCAACGUAUGGUAAGAGGGAAAGAAGAAGAAAAACGAAAUUUGGGAUGCUAGAAAUCACCUGAAGGACGUCAGCAAAGCUCUUCUGCCGGCUGAGUGAAAGCCCGAUCAACCCAUCUCCACCAUUAUCCCGCCAAUUCCCCGAGCAAGGGGCCUUCCUGGACUCCACAGCAUGCUCCUGUGAAUUAAACAGUGGCUGCUGGGAGAAAAGAGACAUAUCGACCUGUUCACCCCAACGGUUCGAUUUCCUUCUAUCUCCAAUCCCAUCGAGAACCGAUCUCCCCGCCUGAAGCCUAUGUGUCGACCUCCAGUCCUCUUUGGACAGCACCGGCGGCGGGAGCCGGGGAUUCAGAUUCACAUGAGUAUAGUAGUAAGAGAGGUAAGUCGGAUUAGAACGGAGCUCCUCCUCGGAUAAGAAACUAUCUCCAUUCUUCGGCUCCGACAUAUUCGGCACACCGGCGCCAACCUCCAGGCCAAAGAGCCCUCCGACGGCACUCAGGGACCCCUCCACGGUGGGAGGGGCGGAGCCGCUCCGAAAGAUAUUCAGCUCCCUCUCUCGAUCGAUCGCCUCUUGCCUCCUCUGCUCCCGAAGCAGCAUCCCCAGUUCCUCCAAAUCAUCGCCGCCAAACCCAUCCCCUCCGCUUCCGAUCACAGAACGAACUCCCAUCUCCGGCAGCACCGUCACAGGUAUCUCAUUGGCCAGUACAAGAACACAAAGAAAGAUAGAACUAACCUAAAAACCAACCGACGGGGAAUAAAGAACCAAAAAGACAAACUUUAUCAGCUCCAUGCCUCGAAAACCCAAAACCACUACGACUUGGAAAAAAGAUUUGAUCUUUCACCAUUUAAAGUAGUCUUAACGAUAUGUUUCGAUCGGAAAACCUCACAUCCCAACCCCGGCAACGGGAAACCCGUAGUAGGCAUAGUGAUUCCUGGAGGCGUCCGGCAGGGCCAACGCCAUAUUUUCGUAAGGAAUCCGAGAGACCAGGACAAAAAAGCUGCGAUCUUUACAACUCCGAGCUAAAGGCGAUCGCUGAUCGGCGAUCGAUUAAGCCAAUUCCCAUAGAGAAAACACCGGGAUACACAACACGAGCCACCCAGAGUCGGGAACGGUGACGAGCAGCGUCGAGAUGGAAGCGAAAGGGGGGAGAGUGGGAGGAGACUGAUAAAGCACAAAAUGAAAACGAUUCUGACCGUCUGAUCCUGAUGCGAACGGCCUCGAUCGGACGAGGCGCACGCGAGAGCGUUUAGGGUUUUUAUUGCAAAUAUUUAAUGUGGAAAUGCGCUGAAUCUAUCGCGGCUUUAAAAUAUACAUAUAUUUCGUCGGACAUCGGAAUGCGAUGGAUAGCUUAUUUUUUAUUAUUUUAUCCAUAGAAAGUGUUGAAACUAUUUUUCUAAAAAACAAAAUCUGCAUUUUAGCUAUUUUCUAAAAAACAAAUUAUUUUUUUUUCAAACAAUAUUCUUAAUUUUAAAAAUAUUCAAAUUAUUAUUCAAAAUAUUUUUCACUUAUUAUAGUAUUUUAACAUAUUAUAGUGUUUUGAUCAUCAUAAUAAAAAUACUAUAAAACAUAUUUAAAAAUAUAAUAAAUAAAUUAAAUAAAAUAAAAUAAAAACCAUUUGAUAUAUCAUACUAUAAUUCAAAUACAUAUUUAUAAUAAUUUAUUAAUAAUAUCACUAAAAUAAAAAUUAAAAAUUAAAAAUUAAUUUAUUAUAGUAUUUUAAUCACUAUAAUAAAAAUAGAUCAAAUUAGACUGUAAUCUCAAUCAAACCAAUUACAUAUGUUUUCUAAUCAAGACUACCAUGUGACGAUCAAUUACCCUUUCACAUGGAAUAAAAAUUUCCUAUCAAAUUAAGGGGUUAAUUUAUCUCUCGAAUUAGCCCAUUAAUUUGAUAGGAAAUUUUAGAUCUAAAAACUGAAAUCAAGAUGCCAUGAAAAAUAAAUUUUAUUUUAUUUUAUUUCCACGAGUGUCUUUAAUCCACUGUAACUAACUAACUUGUUCCUUCAACUAAAAAGUACAAGUAGUUGGUGCAUUAUCGAUUUCAUACAAUAAAAGCAUUUUUAUCGAGUGGCGGUGGUCACAUAUGUCAUAAGAAGUUUGGUGGGAGAAGAUAUCCUCCUUUUCGUAGCCUAUAUUGCUAUGCAAAGGUUUGUGCCGAUGAAGCGAGAGUUGAGGAGCCUUUCUUAUUUGUUGGAACAUCAUGAUCAAUCUCAAGUAUGGCAAAGGUUGUUUGGAGAAGCACUCUUUCUCUUCGAGUUAGCUUGCCAUGGCGUUGGUAGCCAUCAAGAUACAAGUGGUUCAGACUUUGGACUAAAUAGCCAAAGAAAUAGAUCGAAGAUUAAAAUAUAUUUUUAUUAUACUAAGUGAUGUAUAUGAUGUGAGAUUUAUUUAUUUUAUACAAUAAUAUAAUAUAGUAAGUAGUAAUCAAUCUGGAUAUGUAUGUAAGUAUAAAAAUUAUAAUUAUAAUUAUACUAUUAUGUGUAAUAUAUUUAAUAUUAAAUCAAAUAAUAAUAUAUUUGAUUUGAGCCAAACAACAACCCAAUCAAGUCAACAAAAGUAGGGUUACUGAUCUUGCGUUAUCUGUUGCUUAUCAUGGGUGUUCCUCGACUAGCAUAGGAGCUAUGACGACCUUUUCUCGGCACAUCUUUCACGAUAAAAUAAUAUUAUCAUCUAACGCCCACCUAUGUCCUACUGCAAGUUGUCGUCGUAAUCUGUUUGUGCCAAAUCCCACCAUCACACCUUUCAUCCAUCGUGACAUUCAUCGACCCCGUCUCGGUUUCCUCUUCUCUAUGGAUUCCUUCUGUGAUGCCUCCCUUCAUCAUGUCACCACCGAUCUCUUUUCUCUCGCAUCAUGACCCAAGGUCGCUAAUGUCCUUUCCAUGAUUGAUGGCUCGUUUCAUGCAACCAUCUAAUAAAAUCGCAUCCACCUUACUCUUACAUCCACCAUUACAUACAACGACUUCUCCGCCCUCUCAUUAAGCGACCAGGACCUAGCACAAAUAUCGAUGCUUAUACCACACAAUGCAUCAUCGUUAUGCUCAACAACAAUUACUGCAGGCAACGAUGUAACCAAUGAACCCCUCUACCAUCGAGGGGGUUGAUCAUCACAAUGCCCAAAACAUCGCUGAUAAGUAGAUGAGAUUUCCCUAACUGUUGAGGAAAUCUCUCUACUCUGUUGAGGGAAAUCCUCUAACCCGUUGAGGAAACUUANNNNNNNNNNNNNNNNNNNNUAGUAGGUAGUAGGUAGUAAGUAAGGUAAGGAAGAGAGAGAGAGAGAGAGAGAGAGGAGAACGGAGGAAGUUCGAGAAGGCUUCCGCUACAGCAAAAGGCAAAAGCCCUGCCUACCAAACACAAGUUGGGAAGGAAACGGCGGAGUCGCCGUCGUUUUAACGGCGCCGGCGCCUCCGCCUCCGCCACCUGUCACCGAUGGCUUCUUCCCUCUCAUCUAACUGCAGAUAUUAGUAGACGCCAAGCGCACGCCCAGAUCUGUACUCUCUUCUACUUCCUCUUCUUCUUCGUCUCCCUAACCCUAGUAGAAGAAGAAGAAGGCGAAGGGGUAUAAACUCUAGUAGAGGGAGAGGGAUAGAAGGAUGCGCGGUUACGUGACGCUGCCGAUUGUGAUCGUGCUCGCGGCGAUCGUGUACAUCUACUGCACCACCGUGUUCGUGGUGAUCGACGGGUGGCUCGGGCUGUCCACGGCGGCCGGGAUCGCUAACGCCGGCGCGCUCACGGCGCUUACCCUGAUGGCGGUGGUCACCUAUGGGAUGGCCGUCUUCAAGGACCCUGGCCGCGUCCCGGCCUCCUUCGCACCGGAUAUCGAGGACCCCGAGAGUCCCAUCCACGAGAUCAAGAGGAAGGUACCCAUCUUCCCUUUUGCUCGUCGAGUAUUGCUGAUAUUCCUGUGGUUUAAUAGUUAUUGUUAUUUAUUUCGGUCAAAAUGGGUUCGUUUGGAUGAUCUGAUGGAUCUGAGCUCAAUGUGGCAAUAAAGAUGAUGUCUUUUAUUGUGACUUGAAGAAGGGAUGUCCGAUCUAUUCUUAUUUGGUUACAAAAAAAAAAAGGUUUCUUUGAUCAUUUUCCAUAUGCUAUUUAUUGUCGAUAGAGUUAUUAUUGACCUUUGAGCGUUCCUUAGUUGUUGAUAAUUUUGUAACUGUUUAGAUUCAUCAACUCGGUCAAGGUUCAUUCCGAAGAGAGGAACUUAGAAAUUACAUCUUUGGUAUAUUAGAUAUCGGCAUUUUGGUGUGACCUUUUGCUUUGCCUGGAUUAUCCUCGUGAUCUUCUAUUUUGGGCCACUUAUGUUUUAGUUUCUGGAUGGAGCAGUUCAAAGUGUUUUGAGUUAUUAUUAUCUUCUUAAAUGGAUUAGUUGAUUCACUCCGUAGACGUCAGAUACAGACUAUCAGAGAAUAGAUCCAGUAUGAUGAAUAGAAUAAGAUCUGAGUUAUCCAAUUGAAAACAAGUAUUAAUGCCAUUGUGAUAUAAAAGAACAAAAUUCAUAGAAUAAGAUCCAGUUUCUCUAUGCUUCUUUUGGUUCGCCGAAUUGGUACGCUAUUAUGUACAAUAUUACAGUUGUGCUUUGGAUAGGUUUAACUUCCUACAGGUAUAUUGCUGAGAGAUGAAUGUUCUGCCCACAAUUUCUUGAGGUUUGACUGGAAAGAGAACAUUGGAGACCUAAAACAUUAUAUCAGAAUAUGAUAAAAAGAUAUUUGAUUGCUCUUAAGUCCUGACUGCUGUUGUUGUCCUCGUUAGAGUUCAAUAGCAUGGGCGGAUCCAUGUAGCUGGUCCCAAAUUAUCACGGCCAUAUGAUGUUGUUAUUAUCAGAAACUUUUCUAAGCUACAAGUUUGGUAUUUGCGUUCCAAAAGGAAGAAGUUAAUUAUCAGGUUAGUGAUAUAUGUUCCAGCAUUUGAUAUCGCUAAUUUUCAGGGCGGCGAUUUGAGAUACUGCCAGAAGUGUUCACAUUAUAAGCCCCCACGUGCGCAUCAUUGUCGAAUUUGUAAAAGAUGUGUUUUAAGAAUGGUAUGUUGACUGUUUUGUCGUUUCACAUUUUAAAACUUUGUUUGCUUUUGACUAUUACUCUUUACUGUUUUCAGGAUCACCACUGUGUCUGGAUAAACAACUGUGUAGGGCAUGAAAAUUAUAAGAUCUUCUUUGUUUUUGUGCUGUUUGGUGUGUCUGCCUGUAUCCAUUCAAUGGUAUAACAUUCAUUUCGUUUAUGUUAUUAGUGAACAUGGAACUUAUCGGUGGUCAGAAUGACAAAAGGUUUACAUCGUUUAUGCUUUUAUAGGUUCUUCUUAUUUCUAGUGCUUCUCAUGCUCUUCAAAAAGAUCAACAGCAGAAUGGUGAAUCUUUCAAUAAAUCUUAUGUGAGUGACUUGUAACUACCUAACACACUGUUCCGUAAGAGAGAUGACUUAGUUUUUGGAUCAAUUUGACAGAUCCUUUGUGGGACUCUGCUGUGUCCUUUAACUGUCGCAUUAAGCAUCCUUUUGGGUUGGCACAUUUACCUUAUCCUGCAUAACAAGACCACAAUCGAGGUAUGAAGGUUCUCAUUUUUUUGAAAUAAUUAAUGAUCUUAUAGGGCACUUGAUUUCAUUUUGCUUCUUCUGCAGUACCAUGAAGGGGUAAGAGCUAUGUGGCUUGCAGAAAAAGUAGGAAAUGUUUAUCGACAUCCAUAUGACAUUGGUUUCUACGAAAAUCUAGUCUCGGUAAGGGGGAUGUUUCUUGCUUAAGGUUGCAGUCGCUCUUUCUUCGUUUCAGCGGCUUUGAGAAUUUUUCGGAACUCGAUAUAUGUUGAUUUCAGUUCCUGCCCACAGGUGCUGGGACCAAACUUCUUCUGUUGGUUCUGUCCAGUAUCAACGAAUAUAGGUUCUGGUCUCCGGUUCCGGACUGCAUAUGACAUUCCGACAUCCAGAUCACCAAUUUGAUAUAAACACGGCAAAGAUAUGCAAAGUCCUAAAGAUAGAAAAAUGUCAAGAGCUAGCUAGAUGGCAAUGGCAUGGGAACUCUCAUUGGUGCUGCCGGUCUAAAGUUAUCCGGCAGGGGUUCCAACUUUCAGGUUACAGGUGUGAGAGGAAUGCGAGCAGGUUAUGCUUCCAGUAAAUCAUGGGAUUUGUAAUCCUAUGUUGUGCACAGACCAUAAUAAGAUGUAUAAUGCUGUAAUUUAGUAUAUUUGUGUUCUUCCUCAGGUAGUAAGUAGUACGGAAACUCCUACUGAUCCAUAAGGCUGUAAACUGUGCAGUUGCUGAUUAAUGCUAACAUCUCCUUUUGCAAUUUUACAUGGUUCUUUACUUUGAUAUACUGCAACUUGUCUCACUCAUGAUGGGAGGGAAGAUGGCAUUUUCAGUAAUUUUCCAGAGUCAGUUUCCAGUGUCUCAAUUUUACAUUAUUUUUCUUCUUCUUCAUCAUCAUCAUCAUCAUCAUAUGUUGACCUGCUGUUGACUAAUACUCCGCAGGAAAUUGCAGGGGCAGCUCUUGUCGGGUUUGCUCUGCAAGCCUAAUUCCAUCUCGGAUCUGGAUUCGGAUCCAGAUCCGAAACGAGUCACUCCGCCCCCGCUUUCUACAAUAUCAAUUAAGUUUUUUUUUUCUCCUUUUUUUUUAAAAUAAUCAAUAUAGGAAUACUCUAAUACAUUUUUCCUUUUUUUUGUGGUCAAUAUAAGAAAUACGAUCAAAAUUGUAAAUGAUGCCAUCAUCGGCAACCGAAAUAUAUAAGUUAAACCUGAAUGAAUCCCCAGAUUCAUGACAGAUCUCAUGUGCGUGCAAUGUCCAGCAUCGGUAUCUAUCACUGUGAUGACAUGUGUUACUGAGUUGUUCUGUUGAAGAAAUGAUCCCACUCGUGUUCUCCCCCUCUUCCCGUCAGUGCGUACUUCCAACUCUCCUGUUCGCUGAAAUCUGGAACUCUUCCGCCCUUUAUAUCCUUCACCCUCUGAAUCACUCCCUCCACGGUCACAUCGAAGGCAUCGUUCGUCGUCUCCAGUCUGGUCCUGGGAUCUGCGUAAACCAACCUCGGUAUCAUCCUUAUCACCUCUUCUCUCAUAGCCAUCACAUCCUUCUUCCCAAAUCUCUCCAACACCUCCUCUAUCCUCACCUUCCCAUCUCGCACCUCAUCCUCCGAUAUCAACACCGAGUACUCGCUGUGGUUCCUCGGCAGGUGCCACACGUACUGCGCGUAAGCCGACCCCGGGUGGAAGAACACCGGCACGCACCCUGCGACCAUCGCAUCGAACGUCGACCUCCUCGUGUAGGAGUCCCCUUGCGGCUGCAGGCAGAAGAUCGAUCGCUGGAACAUCCCCAUGACGCUGCUCGGCGAGUGGCACUUGCUCCGCCCUUUGUCGCAUUCCAACAACUUGCACCGCCGAGACUGCCGGCACUGGCCGAUGAUCUCGUUGCGAAUCGAAUCUGUUAUGUUCGGCCGUGGGGCGCCCGCGAAGGAGAACAGCCAAGGCCUUCUGAUCCUCCUCAUCCUCUCUUGCCAUUGCUGCACCUCGCUGUCUUUGGAAGGGUGGAAAUAGGUGGGAUACGGUAUUCCGAAAUCGUUUUUGUGCCAAGGACUGGAUUCGAUUACUAGCACGGUCAUGUUCUUGCCCUCUGGAAUCACCAACAGCUUGCUUCCCCAGUCGUCUUCGUCGUCCGUCAACCUUCUGAAGUCCCAUGUGAUCCUCCCCGCCACCAUGAAAUGGUCCCUUCCGCCCAUCGUCGACCACUCGGGCCUCGACUUCAGCCACCUGAUCAGGUCCCUCGAUGUGGCGUCACGCACCGAAGUGUUGUAACCCCACAGGUAGCGGCCGAUGUCGAGGCCGGCGUAGAAGGGGACGAAGAUGGCCGAGGCCAGGGAGGAGUUGGUGGUCAGGCACUCGUACUGCUUCAUUCGGUUGUGGAAGAUGAGCUCGAGAGCGAACUGGUUGGUGGCGUACCACUCGGCGCCGUAGAAGACCCCUUCGGCGUUGUUGAGCCGGGGACCCAGCCCGGCGUUUGACACGAAGGGGCACAUGUCGGUCCACUUGCUAAGCGUGCGGCAGCUGCUGAUCAUGUCGGAGUUGAACCGUCCCGGCAGGUCGUGGACGUAGAUGUAUCGCCCAGAGCAUCGAUCGACGACCAGCGGCGGCGGCGGCGAGCCCAUGGACGGGGAAGCCAUGGGCGUGAUCAUCACCUCCGGCGUUACUGCGCGAUGCUUAUACCCGAGAUUGAAUAUGAAGGUAAAAGAAAUGAUGAUCAAUACGGCGCAAGAAACGGGGAUGGCGCACCACAAGCGUUUCCUGGCGUUGCCUCCGUUGCGUCUGUUGCCGAGUGUUGCCAUGGUCGACUGUAGGACCGAGCAGCGUCUCCUCACAGAGGAUCGUGCGCUGAUCGCCGAGGAAGGCUCACCAAAUACGUGCGUGCAGCAAAUCUUCUUCGGAGGAAGGGGGGAUGACGCUUUCAGAUACUCAGAAUCGGACAAUAUAUAGACUCCGUAAUUCACUGAACUAUUGUAACUUGGGUUUGGACAAGAAGGGCAGCGUCCCAUUCUUUGACAACCUACUUAACACUUUCUUCCCUGAUAACCAGCGCCGACGGUAGCUCGUUGUGACUCUCCAGUCUUGGAUGGCGAUUCUUUUGGUAGGGAGUAUUCUUUUGGAGGAAGGGGAGGAUGAGAGGACCCCACGCCGGAAGCAACCUUCCCCGGAGUCGGCAACGAGAGCGAGUGGCCGUCAUCGAGAAGGAAGACUUCCGCGCUCAUCGAGUCAGAGUCACCGUCACCUCGGCGGCGACGGCUUUUGCGACCCAGACCCGAACGUACGCCAUCCUCAUGCUUGAUCUUUGGCAUGAGAAACAUCAGGCAACGGUGACAUGGUGUUGGAGAUAUACUGGAUGGAUCACUAUCUGCUAUCACGGCAAGCAAUCUCCCCUGUGACACACUCUUUGCAUGAUACUCUUUGAUUCGCACAAAGAGUAGGAAGCUUUCCGAGCACUACUUACUAGCGGACGUAGCCAUCCUAAACGAUGUGUGUUUCCUGGCUACAACUUAGGAUCGAACGUACAUACAUAGGUUUACAUGUAGGUAACUGAAGUCACAUAUGCUCCAAGUCAGCACCCACAUCAGCACCAAGUAAACUCUCAUGUCGGUGUCACAUUGGCUCUAUAUCAUUGACCCAAUGGAUAUCACGGUAAGUAGUUUACUAAGGUCAAACACCCUUUCCACUAAAUAAGGACAAUGUCAUGUAAUUGGCACCGGCGCUGACGCUGACGUUAGGAGGAGGACUAUGAUACACAGUAGAAUCAAUUUACUCUCUUCUUAGUAUAAGCAAUUAGGAGUCUCUCUUCAACCAUCGUGGAUGAUUUAUGUUGCGGGAAAUAACUUUUUUAGCCGUAGCCUCGGGGCCGACGCGGCUCGGUUCGGGGGUCCGAAUGUCGGGGAUCUCGCGCAGUGUCCCUCGAGGUCUCUCGGUGGCCGAUCAUGGUGGUCCGGUCGGGACGUCGCGUCGGGGGGAAGCUUCGCCGCAGCGCCGGGAAGAAGCGACCCCGUCGUCACACUUGCACACAAGUCAGGCUGGGAGCUGGCCCGAGCCCUCCGACGAUCAAGUCAGUGAUGUGGAGGGGGUUUUAGAUGAGGAAGUGGCUGUGUGUGUGUUCUCCUCCCCCGUUCGUUUAGAACUCUGGGGAAUUUAUAGGUAAGUUUGAUGUUACCUGAUGUGCCUGUCUGCAGAAGCAUGACCGUACCUCUAAUGGCAUCUGACAUUGCCAUCGGGGUCGCGUAGAGAACCGACCUGCCGCAGGGUAUGGGCUAGCCUCGGUCAUCGUCCUCCUCUGCCUCGGGCGAGCAUGUAGGGUCAGGCAACGAUGAAGUCGUUGUCUGGAGCGAGUGACGUGGGCGCACAUCGGGUCGGCAUUAAUGCCCUCUUGCUCGGGCAGAGUGUAGCCCGGGCGUGGCUGAUGUCGUGGCGCGUCAUGCCCCUGUCAGAGGAUGUCCUUCCGGUUGACUCCCUCAUCAGGUUCAACCAUUAACAAGAAGAAAACAAAUAGUCAUUCCAUUUCUCCCUCCCUCGAUUAGCUCAGCUGGUAACCCUAUAGAACAUCUUUGUUUGUCAACGAUCUCCCAUGACUUCUUUGCCUCUACACGAGCAAAAGCCAAGUGUGGUAAGGAACUCUCGAUCAAUCUAUAGCAUAUGCGGCCUUGUUAGUAAAAAACGUAUCUUAGUAUCCUGAUACAUAUAUUUUUUCCGGAUGGAGGCAUAGCAGCAAGUGGCUAAUGUAGUCGUCUUCUCGGUUAAAUCAUCUCUUAUUAUUCUACCUAUUUCGAGAAAAAAACAUACACACAUGUGGCCUUGACCUAAGUAUCUCUUAAUGCUUAAUGCACUCUGUCUUGAUACAAGUAUGCCAAGUGUCUGAUCAAAGUAUCUCUUGAUGAUAUCCAAUGCGUACAUAUUGAACAAUACAAAGUAUUUGAUGCGACAUCCUCAACCAAAGCAUCUCUUCAUCUCGAAUAGAAACAUUAAGAAUGUCCCGUGCAUCCUCCUUAACCAAAACAUCUCUUGUUUAAUGGUCCGGGGGGGGGGGGGGCGGGGUUGGGUAGACACAUCGGACCAACCCAAGAUGGGACUUGGAAUUCUUCUUUGGUAGCACGUGUUUACGAAAGAGAAGGUCGAUGUCGAGGGGGAAUGCCCAACUCAACCCCUUCUGAAGCCUAAGUUAAUUUUAAAAGGAUUUGAAAGUAUUUUGUCGAUGUUCGAGGUCCGAUCUCUUGGCAUUGGCUAGGGGGUCGAUUUUAAUACAUGUUUUCGGGGGUUGAUAACAUUGGGAUAUAUGAUAACAUUGAGGCAUAUCGAUCUAAACUGUGCACGUAUCAAGUGUUAGAUAUAAGAGACGCAUGAGACGUUGGGAUGUGCUUAUUUGGAUGGCUCGUGUUGGGAAUAAAUGUGCAAGGGCAUCACAGUGUUCGGACUCGAAUGUCAUACAUUACAUAGAGACUGGCAGAUGAUAGAAAUAACGAGGGUAUCAAGGAAAGAAGAAGAAUCGAUAAACAUGAUAUUGAGGUCGUAGAAAUUAUAUGUCACAACUGCAGUGCAACCAGUGUGGGAGGGUAGCACUACGAGAGCAACAAGUGAAGUAUGACGACAACGACGGUAGCAACCACCACUACGGUGACAACAAUGGCAACGUCGAUGGCUGAGGGUAGCACUUCAAUAACCAAGGGUGGUAAAAGCGUCAGAGUAUGAUGGCAAUGGCAGCUUGGGCGAUAAGGGAGUGAACCAGGUCGACCGCGACGACAUUGCCGGUGCACACCCAAUCUGUACGCACCGGCGGCGGCUAGAUCGGUGAUGAUAAUAGCGCGAGUGGUGGCAGGAAGAAGAGGGGAGAGAGAGUUGGUAGCAGCUCGACACAUAGCACCCAGGAUUGGAUUUAUAGUGGGAAUCCACAACAACGUGAUGACUGCAGUGCAUGAGGAAUGUGACUAAUAUGCGGUUCCACGCAAGGCUUAAUCUUGUAGAUUAGUGUCACUUCCCGGGAACAACGAAACCUGACUCCUUCGAAGACAAGAAUGACAUUACUGCCAUACAUUUCACAACCAUCAACAAUGGUUGUGAAAUGUUUUUCUUGAAGCUGCUCCUUCAUAUCAGAAAUCUUUUUUCUGCACGGUGGUGGCGUCUCCUCCUCCUUCUUCUUCUUCAUCCAUGUGCUUCAUGAUCUGAAAAAGGCAAGGUUAGAUGCGAACCUUCAUUAUAAGAUUGGAGCAACGAGUCUCUCUGUUCCAUCAUGUUAUCUAGCGACAGUGAGGUUUCAUUGUAUUUACAUUCCAGCUCUUGUAAGUGCUUGCUUUUCACCUCAAUCUGGCUUGCCAAGUUUGCCACAAGCCUAUCUGUUCUGCUGGACUCUUCGGCUGCAAGAUCGCCGACAGACUUGAGAUCUCCGUUUUGACUUAAAUGAUCGCCGACGGGGCCUGCGGAUGUAUAAUCCCCUGCUCUUGCAACCCAACCACAGAUGUUCGAGCCGCGAAAUCUGUUGUCUAACCAGUCCCUCUUUCCACGGCGAUCGGCUUCGAAAUGAUUCUCGAAUGCCAUGGCAUCUCUAAAACCAGUCCAAUCUUUGGCACAGAGGAUGAUGUGCUUUCAACGGAUUAAACGGGGAAAGCUGCUGCUUCCACUUUCACCUAUACACCGCCCGUUCUUGAACUCGGUUAGGAUAUUAGCUACGACACCCAUCCAGGGCCAAACAAACAGCUCUUCCGAUUGGCUUUUGGAGCUGCUCGGCUGAAGGACCAUCGGCCGGGUGGAAGAUGUCGCAUUGCUCAAAAAUUUUGCCAUGGCACGAUGCUUCGCCUUCACUUUUCCGCUCCUUUUGGAUGCACCUAACGCGGUUGCAUGCUGAAGCAACUCUUCUCUGUAGGCGUACUCCCAUCUUCUUUUUGCCCACACAAAAGGGACAUCGACAAGUGUUAUCCGUCUUUCUAACUUUAUAUCGUCCUGCUUCAAAACGACGAUAAAUUUUUUCCUCGUAUGCGUCGAUCUCUGAGUCAUUUAUCUCAGACUCUGAACUCUGAUCCAUCGAGUCUACAAGGAACUGACAAAAAAUCAAUCAAUUACUAGAAAAAAAAAUAAACUAUCCUAAGUUAUGGAUAUGUCAAACCAUUGAUUGCCUUGAACACCUAAUGCACUCGCAUUCAUCCACCAAACGAUCCAAUGAGUAAACAGUAGUCAAGUGAAGUCAGGAAUGGAAUGUAUGAUCACAAAACAAAACAAAGCAAAGCAAAGCAAACGAUAUUAUCACAAACAACACGAAAAUCAUAUCAGAGAUCAUCGAAUGAAAGAAGAUGACAGUAGUAAUAACAGAAGGUGUCGAAAUAGAAAAUAAUGGACCAUUUCAGUGAAUUAGUAAAGAAAGCUCAUUUCACACUCUCCUAGAAUGGAGAGAUCUUGAUCUUCUCUCAUGAAAUAGAGAACAAUAGCAAACACAUAUUCGAUUCCUCCGAUUCAGACAAAUUCGAUUGCCAAAUCAAAUAAGACCCACCACUAAUUUGAUAAGGUAAGUAUUUAACCCAUUAAAUGCUAGGCAUAAUGAGUUAUAAGGGCCUUCAAAUUACUUCUUUUCCUCUUUAUGAAUUUAAGGCAGAUAAAAUCUUAUAUUUAAUUGUUAUAACGAAAUGAUACAUAUUCCAACCCUUCUUUUCCUCCUAUUCGAUUAUUAUAACAUAAUGAUAGAGAUUUCAACCUUAUAUUCUUCUAACAAGAGAUAAAAAAAAAGAAAGCUUAUUUCACACACAAUACAACAAUAUUAUGAUAUUUUUACCCACUAAAGUGAUGAUAUACUCUUUCCUAAUAAUAGACGGUGGAUUUAUCUAUGUGUCGUGUGCCUUCUCUUGUCGUGAAAAUUAUUUUUUUCAUUCAUUUAUGUAUAUAUUUAAAAAAAAUCACAUGAUAAAAAUAUCACGAUAGACUAUGCUCGUAAACUAUAACACUUGAAACGUAAAUCACUCACCAUAAUCACAUAUAGUAAUAAUAGUAUUAAUAAUAUGUAUCAUAUCAUCAAUCUUUGUGUUAAAUACCAUUUAAACUUAAAAAUCAUUAAUCAUAUUUAAAUUUAUCAUAACUUUAAAAAAUAUUUUAAAUUUAUAAAUAAUAAAUCCAUGAAGUGUUAGCUCAUCUAUAAAUUUUAAUUGAAUUGAACCUAAUAUGUUUUCAAUUAGAUUCCAACAAAUUGACUUCAAGUCCACUUAAAAUUGAUAAUAAAAAAAAAAUAUGUUAAGCUAUAUAAUUAAGUAAUUGAUUUAAUAAUUGAUAAAAUAAAUAUUCAACCCAUUCAACGUUAGACAUAAUGAGUAUAAGAGCUUAAAUUGUAGCUCCUUCACUUCCAACAUGGAUCACUCACCAUAAUCAUUUGUCUUAAUGUAAUAAUAGUAUUAUAUCAUCAAUUUUUGUGUCAAACACGAUUUAAACUUAAAAAAACUAUUAAUCAUCUUUUAAAGUUUUUAAGCAUAAUUUAAAAAAAUCGAGUGCUACCUUUGUUUGCCUCGCUACGCGACGAAGUUGCCGCUUGGGAUAAGACACACCGGGGUGGGGGCGGGGUGACGCCGGAGUCUUAGUCUGAAAUCGUGGGCUACGUUGGAACACGACGUGAUCGCUGGUGCUGUGCAUCUGGUCAUCCUCCGUCCCAACCUUGUAUUGUACGAUUAAUCCGAGAGAGAGAGAGAGAGAGAGAGGGAGUUGAUGUUUCGGGAGUCGACCAUUACUGCUGACGUUAAUCGUUCGAAGAUGCUCGUCUCAGAUCGUCAGCUUAAACGGGACAGACUAAGAACAUUGGAACCGUAGAGGGCUGGCUGGGUUUCAUUUGAUCUUUCUUUUGAAACAUUUAGGUAGAGAAAGGAAAAAGUUUUUGGAUGUGUUGUUGUAAUUAUCAAACAUGAUGAUACUCGGUGGUCCGAUCCUCUUUGACCGCAGCUGUCCUCUCCUACUCCAAGUUGUCCCUUACCAGCUAGUUCGAGGUCGGGUCCUCACCUCUUAAAUACGAUUUCAUUAUGCUUCUAUGCACCGUCGACGGUCAGUGUAAUUAUAUUCUCUUCUUUCCCUGUCUUUUUUCUUUCUUCUCGAUUAGCAAUAAGAAAAAACCAAAAACAGACGGAGAGCGAGAAUUAGAAGCUGGGAAUGCGGGGAUAGGCUGGUCCCUCACAUCAACCCAGUAGCGUCGACACCAGGCUGGGCCACAGCCUUUAGUGUGUGCUCUCUCUCUCUCUCUCUCUCUCUUUCUCUCUCUCAUUCUUGCACUGCUAUGUGGAAGUGGUCCGCUCUUACGGGCCUCCAAGCCAUUGGCCCAGUGUUGACGUCAGCACUCGUACGACUCUUUCACUCCCGUGACGCAAUGGAGUGACAGAAGCACGCCUUUCUCUUAGCUUGGCUUGGCUUGGCUUGGCUUGGCUUGGCUGGUGAUGAACAAACACUUGUUCUUCCUUAGAGAGCAGAUGGAGGGAUGCGAUCCCAAAGCGUGUCUCGGAGGAGGAAGAGGGACGGAAGAAGAACAAGUUUCGUGUGUCGAGGGGUUCGAAUAUAUCGAGAGGACCACCGCCUCCUCUCUUGUCACCAUCAACCCAAGAGAGUUACGCACCCUACUCCAUAGACUGGUCUAACAUCGCUCCCCAUCAGGCCUCGGUGAAUUAAUUGUGUUCCCUCCCACGUGUUAUCUAUGUCGUGUUUCCACCAGCGUCGACGAACGACGACGGAAGCAUGUAAUUUGAUUGUCAUUCCACAUCCACAGUGACGGACAGUGAUAGAUGCGUCAUCGGAUGAUACACCUCAUGCUUCCUGCCAUCCAUGAUUUGCUCAUGUUUCCCCUCCCUCACUUCUUUUUGCUAAUCGUCACCUCACACAUCGAAUGAUCAAAUGGUCCAUGUUUUCUUCUUAGCUGCUACGUUUACUGUAUAAUCCUUGUUCGUCGGCUUGCCUACACCAUCUCUCUCCGUCUCUCGUCUGCUUGAAAGCUGUGCAUCACAACAAAGCUUAAUGAGCUCGACUGUGGAAGCACGUUGGCUGUAUCAGGCUUUUUAUUCCAUGGGGUGCGACCGCAGCAUUGAUGUUCCACACCGACUAUGAUGCAACCGGACUCACGUCAUCCGACUAUUCAUAGCUCCCGCUAUCGUCAAAGUGGAUCGAGACACACCCGUCAUCUUCGCUUGACGUGCCUUGGCUCGUUCGUCCACGGAGGAACGCUGACCACGAAAGCCCACCGGAUGCAACAGUCAGGUAGUUCAGUGAUCUACGGGAGAAGUCACCUCCGACUCAUCCAUCGAUUACCAUGCACCGAUGAAUGAUAAUUUGACAUGGAGUUUAACCUACGGCAUUUGUUGUGGACUUUGACGUUACUAAUGUGUCGGAUUGCACUGUACGUGCACAUGCAUGGGCAUACCUAAUACUAUUCUUCUUCUUCAUGUACUACAUACAAAUCGCCAAUUAGGUGAUAAGCUAUUAUUCUAUGGUGGAGUUGGAAGGUUCGACCAAAGUUCUCUGGUCCGCUAAAGAAUAAUAAGAACCAUCCAAAAAAGCUCUUGAAAGGCAGAUCAUCGGAGACUGUCCGUCAUAGGGAGUGGAGAGUCGGAUGUGCAACCCAUCCAUGAAAACACAUGGUCGCCAAAAGCCUUGUCUUAAUAAUAAGAAUGAUGCUGGUGGGAUGACACUCUCGCAGACAUGUCCUAUACGAGUCCAUAAUUUGAACGUCCGAACAAGCUUCUUGGUAGGAUAACCCUCUCAAAGACUUGACCUAUCAUCGCACUCAUAGUGGCGAUCACGUGAUCUGACAUGUUGUGAAGCCCACCGCUGGGCUUCAGUAGUUGCAAGGAAUUAAUCUACUACGUGUUGUUGGUGACUUGGCGCGUGAGUUGACGACCCCUCGAUGGGUCAUCACGUAGCACAAGACCAGUAGUCUCUCUCUCUCUCUCUUUAUAUAUAUAUAUAUAUAUAUAUAUAUGGAAGGUGCUGCACAAUCACAGUGGCUGAACCAUGGCAGGCUCAGUGGAGUGGGUGGACAGUGGAGACAACAAAGGGAGCGAUGAGAGGGAAGGGAUGGUGGUGGGACUGCGGGUGGGACGGUGAGAGGGAGGGAGAGGGCGACGCAACCGGUUGCUGACACCGAAGGAAGACAAAGCGCGAAGGCGAGAAGGAAGGAGAAGGUCGAGUCCCCAUCUGGAUCCGUCCGCGUGUGCCGAGAAAAGCGCGCUAAAACACGACACACAUGUUGCUGCAGUAUUAGUACUAGUCAUCCCUCUGUCUUCUCCUCUCUCUCUCCCCACCUUUUCUCCCAUUCUCCCUCUCCAAUGAUGCCUCUUGCCUCACCAGCUAAAGAUCGCGUCGUCUACCGUAAAUGCUACUGUCUACUAUUACCACCAGAAUCGACUUCAAAGAAGAGCGACUGUUGCACUCUCUCUACAUAUAUCUCUUUCUAUGCUCCUGUAGUUGGUUGUUGGUGUGAACAGGGUUUUCACGGCUUUGACCCACUCUUGCCGUAUACCGCGGCAGGGAACCAAGCCGAAGUCAGUGCAUCGACGAGGCGAGAGAGAGAGAUAGAGAGGAUUAACGCCGUACGACGUGAUGGCUCCGGGCAUGACAAAAAAUGCUGGCGCAGCAGAGGAGGGAGGGGAUAGUCUAUCUGCCUACGUUUAUUUGUCUCCUGAGUCUCCUCCUAUCAUUUUCUUCUACUUCUCAUAUAUUUCCAGCCGGAUUUAAUGUGUUCAAGAACACGAUUCCUAUUUGCUUUCUCGUCCAAUGUGUGUGGUCGCUAGAAAUUUAAAUUUAGAAAUACUGGGUCUCUCUCUCGCUCGCUCGCGCAUUCUUCUCUCCGCAUCUUCUCCGCCGUACCAGUACUGCGUGUUACUGUAGUAGUAGUGUAAAUGGGAUCACGGCAUCACAUUGCCUUCGACUUCGACUUCGACACCGACGCGGCUCCUACCGCUCCCCAUUCUAUGUAGGGAGUACUCCUUCUACCCACCCACCUCUGUUGCCGCCUUUCGUCUUUUUGCCCUUGGCGUGCGCUUCCUUUGCGCUACUGUCACUUUGCCCUUCCUCCUCUCCUUCCCUUAUAUAUACACCCACCCACCUCCUCCUCCCUUGCCCAAACACAUUCCCUUCUCUGUUCUCUGCCGUUGGUUUUGAUCGAAACCGGGAGCCUUGGUCAUCAUCGAAAGGUCAUUUGUACUUGUUUGAUCCUUCGCUUCUAUGAAUCUCAUCUUUUCUCCUCCUCCUCUUCUGCUUCUUUGUUUUGCUCGACUAAAUCCACCUCUUCUCAUCGAGAUGUUGCGAUGAGAAUUAUGGUUUGGGUUCAUAUUCCGUACCAUAUGCCGCAUCAUAACAUAUUCUUAAAGUGGUGUAUCUGCUGAGUUGGGACAAUCAUUAGGUCUAUUAUUCUGAUCUAACUAUGCUGGCAAUGAUUACCAACAAAUUAUUAUAUUAGUCCUGCCUCUUCUUAGAUCUUCUACUUUGCCUUGUGCCAUCCGUGAUACAGGAAACUCUUUCGGUUCUAGCAUCUGCAAACUAGUUAGAAGAUUCGGUAGGAUCGUCGAUUGCUGUUGUUGAAUUAUAUGCGUUUUGAUCUCGGAUAGGUAUGAGGUAUCCUCCGGGGCGAUGGGAUUUGGCCUCUGCAAAUGAAGGAUAGGCAGCGGUGGAGGGCCGAAGAGGAUGCUAUAUUGCGCGCAUACGUGAAGCAGUAUGGUCCCAGGGAGUGGAACCUCGUGUCCCAGCGCAUGAACGUAGCGCUCAACAGGGACGCCAAAUCCUGCUUGGAGAGGUGGAAGAACUACCUCAAGCCGGGAAUCAAGAAAGGAUCACUCACCGAGGAGGAGCAGCGGCUGGUGAUCCGGCUGCAGGCGAAGCACGGCAACAAGUGGAAGAAGAUCGCGGCGGAGGUCCCCGGGCGCACACCCAAGCGGCUGGGCAAGUGGUGGGAGGUCUUCAAGGAGAAGCAGCAGAGGCAGCAGAACGAGAGCAACAAAGCGGCGACGAGCCCGGCGGAGCCAGCCAAAUACGACCGCAUUCUCGAGAACUUCGCGGAGAAGCUGGUCAGGGAGCGGCGGGGAGUCCCACUGCUCAUGGCCGCGCCAUUCCUCCCGCUGUGGCUUUCCAACAAUGGCGGAUCCCAUGGGCCGCCGUCGCCCUCGGUUACUCUUACACUCUCGUCUUCCACCGUCCCUCCUACGCCUAAACCCUGGCUGCAAUCCGAGGGAGGCGCGGACGGUGGCUUGGGACUGGCGAUGUCACAGAAGGGCAUGGCUUUGGGGGUCUCCGGUUCGGUGGUCGUCGACGGCCACAUCAUGACGGAGCUGGUGGAGUGCUGCAGAGAGGUCGAGGAAGGGCAUCGGGCAUGGAUGGAGCAGAAGAAGGAGGCAGCAUGGAGGAUGAAGAGGCUGGAGCUGCAACUGGAGUCGGAGAAGACCGGCAAGAGGAGGGAGAAGAUGGAGGAGAUCGAGGCCAAAGUGCGGGCGCUCAGGGAGGAGCAGCAGGCGGCACUGGAGAGGAUCGAAGCAGAGUACGGGGAGCAGAUCGCAAGGUUGAGGAAGGAUGCCGAAGCCAAGGAGCAGAAAGUGGCAGAGCAGUGGGCUGCGAAGCACGUGCGACUGAGCAGGUUCCUUGAUCAGGUCGGCUACCGACAGUGGCCGCCGGCGGAGACGCAUGGGCGGUGAGCGGAAGUCGACUGGCUAUGUAUUUACUAUUACUGAUGUGCUUUUUACCUUUCGUGGUCUUCGCCGUUGGAUAGUCGGAACAUGCAUUUGUUCCGUCUCCGGAUCUUAAAACCCACGGAACACAUAUGAUUUGUCUUCUUCAUGCAAUGUCUUUUUUCCCAGGCUUCGGUUCGAUUUGAUCUUUUAAAUCGUUUCUCCGGUCCAAUUCACCGAUGAUCUUAUUCGAUCUCCGGCCACAGAAAAUUAUCCCGGUCUCCUCACGACAUGUUCAGGCGAAGUGCAUUCACAAGGCUCUGAUGGUUGCUUUCCAAGCGUCCUUGAAUCGGUCGCGUCGAUGGCUUCUUCUUCAACAGAGACCUCGUUGGUCUCUGUCAAAUGGGUUCCCCGGCUGUCCAUCUAAUCACAAACCACUACUGUUACAAAUACAAUAUGGAGGAGGAGGAGGAGGAGGAGGAGAAUUCACUGCUUUCAACAAUGGAAACUAAAAUACAGAACUUAGAGACGAUGAGAUUUCUUCACAGGUACAAUUAUCACUAACAAUUUUCCUAAAAAGAGAAAAAACAAGAGACUCAGUGAAUUAAGUGCUAUGGUGAAGGAUUCACAAAAGUAGUGUAGGAGUAAAAUCUAGCUUAGGUUUUGGUGAAGAAGGUUGUUGUUGUACCUUACGGUGCAACUGGAUGCUCAUCGAGUUAUGUUGUAUUCAUGAUUGGUUGGCUGGCUUCUGUCAGCAUUAGUGCAAUCAGAUCUACCAGGGAUUAAAAUCCAAGUUGCUUCUCCACAGAUUUAAGAUGAUUGCAACUCUUUUGGACCUUAAAGGAACUGAAUUGAAACCAAAAGUUACUACAAGGUUGAAGAACCGAAUGAUGGUGGUGCUCGAGUGUCUCCAUUUUCCCCUCCUCAGUACUCCGACCAUCCUUUUUGAUCAUAGGAUCGAACUGAAUGGUUCUUUUGUAAUCGAAAAUCUCAUGACAUGUUUGGACCGAUACCAAAAAACAAACCUACAUUUUCUUACCGAGAAAUAUUAGUAUGUUUUCAAAAGACAUAAAGAAUAAUUAUUUUGUGUUUCCACUCCUCCUUUCAUUCAUAUGAACUGUGCGAGAGAAUAUAUAAUAUACCAGGUGAUGAACUAAAUCAUUUCGAUGACAGGUAUCAAAACAAAAGAGAAAAUGUACAAUAUCUUAACAUUUCAGCUUCCCAUAAGAGUAUGUAUGGAUUCAGGAGAAGCCAAGGAAAGGGUUCUUUUAUUUACUUCCUCAGAACACCUUUUGCCAUCGAUGGCGACACUGAACAACCUCUGUUCUACCCGGAAAGAAGUCAGCUGCAAAGGCAGCGAUUGGAGACCAUAAAGAUGACACCAAAAUUACUGGCAAAGUUUAGAGGAGGAAGUCAUCGCAUAAUGCUUUGACAGAAUUGUAGACUGGUCAUAGGUUCGAAUUGUCGGCUCAAGUGUUCUUUGCGACUAUGGAGAGAAAUGCAUAAUCGCAAAGAAAUGCUGAAGCAACAUGAAUGGUUUGGAGAGAAAUGCAUUAUAAUUGCUCAUUCAUGGCAUGAACUGUUGUACACUUGAUCAUGAGACUGACUACAUGGACUCGUGCCAUGAUGGAAGGUUUCUUUGCGACUAUGGCAAUGGCUCCAAAUAGAAUAAUGAAAUAACAAUUACGAAACUAUUUUCGUAAUGGACGGUGCGUGCCUAUAGAUCAAACAAUUAAGCAGUAACAAGAGAAGAUUGCUGGUUACCUAUUUUCUUGCAGCAUCUUCCUCUGUAAACUUCAACAGCUUUUCUUGAUGUUUCAUCCUGUGGAAUGUAGCAGCUAGAGGUUAGAAGAAGAGCUUAUCAGAAUGUAACCAUGAAGACAAGAAGAAAUAUUUAUGAUUUGAUGAAAAAAGCCGAUUUGUUUUGAUGUAAUAUUCAGAUAGAUGGAUACAACCAUCCAAAACAGCCGCAGUCGAGUGAUUCACAAAUCAAAAGCGACUGAAUUCAGUAAAGCGGUACAUGGGAGAAAGAGAUGGAAGUCAAGGGGACAUCAGAGAAAGGUGCUGCUCGGUGGCAUUCUCGCCAACGAGUUCCCGACCUGGCCUCGACUUUUUGCCUAGAAGACCCAGACGAUCGAUGUGCUUGCUAUUCGGCAAAAAUCCCGUCCUUGUCAUUUCGUCGAACGACUCAAACGCAACGCACAUGGAUCUCAAUGCGCUUGGCGGUCCAAAUCCACAAGGCACAGGCACAGGCACAGGCUCAAACAUUACGGGGCUCCUUCCCAUUUAACUCCAUUCCGACUCAUCUGGAAGCAGGCUGUAGCCGCUGUUCGGCUAGUGGAGGCCGGAGAGCCCACACGGAGGCGGGUCUACGUCGGGACAAGUAAGUGAAGCGAAUUGGCAGGAAUAAACUACUCCAUGCAACAACCUACACCCUCCGAUUACUAAACUACUCCAUGCACGUAUUAUCAGAGCAUGGACGGACCGAAUGCUGCCGAGACAAACUACAUAUAUAAGGAGAAGGUUACUGCACCGCCAUCGAAGCAGCACGUAGGGUUACUAUGCUUCGUAAACUAGGGUUAAUAUAGCGGGGGGGGGAAGUGCCCAAAGAUCUCGUAGGGUUUGACUCGCUUGGCUGCCUUUUUCCUAGCUCCCAAAGUGAGCCCGUGAUCAGCCAUCAUGCUGCCUGCUUGCUUAGGCCGACGCCAUUGACCUUUGGGGAGCAGUAAGGAGAUCAAACAAAGAUCGGAAAUCUAAACAAUCAUAUGAUCGUCGUCGACCGUCAACGAUAAAAAUGCCUCUCUGGUUUUGGUUCGAUCAAAUGAAAAUUCUUUUAAAAAAAUAAAGAAAAAAGAUGAUUUCGAUUCGAAAUCGUCGACUCCAAAAUCGAAAUUAUUGGUUCGAGAAAUAGAACCGAAACUGUCUGACUCGUUCAUUCUAAAUAUGAAUGAAGUCAGAGGCCUACUUGGAUACAGUGUUACGUUGCAUGAAUCCCAGUAGCCGCCGCGCUGUUGCACUUGGAAAGCAGCAGUGGGCAGAUGAGAGCUACCCGCCAACCGCGCCCUUUGUUCGUUGGUUACCUCUGUGAGGGUGGAUUAGAUUAGAUCGCGGUUUCAAGAAUCAACCGCUGUCACUUCCAAACGCUACUAUGUUUCGAAAUAUGCCCAAACAUUUUAUAAAGGCCAACCGAUAGAUGCUUAAAUGUCGUCUAUAUCUUUUCGGUCCGAAGCCAAGACUUUUUAGCUGCAUUAAAUUAGACGAAUCCUUCGCCGAUGAAUUGUUUCCACCACUUUCUAUUUUCAUUAAAAAUAUCAAAAUAUAUAUAACAAUAUGAAAUUAUAUAAUAUCAAAAUAUGAAAUUAAAAUAAUUUUAUUAUUAAAUAAGCAUUAAUUAACGUAGGCUUUACUACUAAGUUAUCUAUUCUAAAUAUCUACCGAGCUAAAACAUGUCAUUGCCACGACCGCCCGUUUCGGGUAUUCAUUGGGCUUCGUUUGUGUUCCGUGUUGCGGACCUUGUACCAAAUCACCUAGUCGCCCGGUGCUACCAACACCUCACGAGGCACCACACUCGUGCGGUCACCUCCGGUCGCCCGACCAAGGCUUUCAUCCUCCACCAUGGGCGGCACGCAAAGCGGUGGUGCGAUGGGUGGGUGAACGGACCCCAAAUCCGAUCGGAUCACUCCACGGAUAAUAAUAAUUAAAACUAUUAUUCUAAUACAUACAAUAUAUAUAACAUCACCACCAGCAUCAUCAUUAUGAUCAUCAUCAUCAUCUCCCACAUCUUUCUACUUCGCUUUGCUCUGGCUCUCUCUCUCUCUCUCUCUCUCUCUCUCGCGCACUCACUGGGCAGGAGACUGGAGUGGGGAGAAAGAAAGCGCAGCAAAUUGAAAUGGCGGCAUCAUCUCCACCACCACCUCCUCCUCCUCCGCCUCCUCUCCACCCGCAUUUGCGUAUUCCCUACUCUGCCCCUGCCCGCCUCCUGCUUUUCCUGUUGCUUAUAACUCACCCCGUUUCUUUGGCGGUUAACAUCACCGCCGUGCUCUCAGCCUACCGCGACCUCUCCGACUUCAAUCGCCUACUUAGCUCCACCUCCGUCCCCGGCGACCUCGCGGGACGCUCCUCCCUCACCAUCCUCGCCGUCCCCAACGCCUACCUCCUCCGCUCCUCGGCCGCCCGCACCGCCGCGGCCUCUGACAUCGCCGACGUCCUCCGCUACCACGUCCUCCUCGAGUACCUCUCGUGGCCCGACCUCCGCCGCAUCCCGACCGGCGGGAAGCUCGUCACCACUCUGUACCAGACCACCGGCAGGGCCGCCGGAAACCUCGGCGCCGUCAACCUCACCCGCGACGAGGGGGGCGGCGUCACCGCGCGCUCGCCCGCCCCCUUCUCCGCCUCCAACGCCACCAUCCUCGACCUCGUCGGCACCCACCCCUACAACGUCUCCGUCUUCGCCGUCAACGCGCUCCUCCUCCCCUACGGGUUCGACCUCGCCGCCUCGGAGACGCGCCCUCCCGUCGGGGUCAACAUCACGCGGGUCCUCUUCGACGGCCGCGACUUCAACGUGGCCGCCUCCAUGCUCGAGGCGUCGGGCGUCGCAGCAGAGUUCGAGGCCGACGAGCGCGGCGCCGGAAUCACCGUCUUCGUCCCCACCGACGAGGCCUUCGCAGAUCUCCCGGCCACCGAGCGGCUGCAGUCUUUGCCGGCGGACCGCAAGGCGGUGGUGCUCCGCUUCCACGUGCUCCACUCCUACUACCCCCUCGGCUCCCUCGAGUCCAUCGUCAACCCCGUCCAGCCCACGCUCGCCACCGAGGACACCGGCGCCGGCCGCUUUACCCUCAACAUCACGCGUGUCAACGGCUCGGUGGCCAUCGACACCGGCGUGGUCCAGGCGUCCAUCACGCGCACCGUGUUCGACCAGAACCCGGUGGCCGUAUUCGCCGUCUCCAAGGUGCUACUGCCGAGGGAGAUCUUCCCGGGGGAGACCAGCGGAGCGAUGCAGGCGGCAGCCGCUGCGCCGCCGCCGGUGGAGGCGGCGGGUCUCCCGCCGCAGGGGGCCGAGGACUGGGACACGCCGCCGGCGAGGCUGUCGUCGCCGCCGGGCCUCAGAGAGGAGCUUACGUCCGGGGCGGCCGUCCGCGAUGGGGUUGCCGUGUCCUGUAUAGCGUCGCUCUUUCUAAUGCAGCUGCUGGUAUGAGAUCUGCUUUCUCUUCCUUCAUCUAAAAUUUUCAUCUUUAUUUCUUGAUGUUCCGUCGGGGGUUGGGUGGUUAUUUUGGAUGGUAUUCGUAUACGAAGAUUGGAAUUUUAGCUGCAAAGCAGCCAUUUUAUUGCCCUUUCCUUCCUACAUGUUUUGGGUGAUUCAUGGCGGCAUUCAAUUUGGAAAUGUCGAAAUAAUCUGAUGGAAUUCCGAGCAAAAGUUUGUAGAAUCCGAUUCGUCUCUUCUCCUCUCUUCUUCUUACUUUCUUUUUCUUCUCCCGUUUCCGUUUCCGUUCUGUGAGGACGACGAUGGUUCUUUCCUUCCAUCUGCUGAAGAGCGACUAAAGACACAGAAAGCUCGCAGCUUUUAGGGGUCGGCCGAUCCAAAAAGAACAAAUCAAAACAAAACAAAUGCUUCGUUCUCGGUCUUUGCCAAGAAGAAAACAAACCAAAAAUCCACCGAAAUCUCGAAUUGGAGAUCAAGAAAGGAGAGUGCAUGGGUCCUUGGAUAAGAGAGAGUCUCAUCCAAUCUACUUGUAAUAGUUAGGGAAGAGAAAGCGUCCCCUUUUCAAUGGGAUGCUCGAGGACGGGGCUCCUGCCGUCUUCUCUCUGGGGUUGGGGAAAGGCUCAGGUCUUUCCGGGCUGGUUCCGGACUCGCGUGAGCUCACCGGGGUCGGUGAUGGGAUCGCGCUGGGCAGUGGGGAGUGAGCUGGCGGCAAUGAGACAGCGCAUUGCUGUCCGUGACCCACCCGUUAGAUUCUGCUCUCUCUGGAUGACGACGUCGACCCUUUGGGUUGCACUGCGUUUGGUUGGAUUUGGUUGCGUCGGGCCCCACGUGUGCGCCCGUCUCUCGACGUCCCUCGGCCCCACGCCACCCCCGGCUGGCGCUGCAGUCCUCCCGGGGGUGCGGGGAAUGGGCUGUAAGAUCUCUCUGUUUAGUCUGUACUGGCGAGACAUUGAAAUCUUGAGCUGACUUCAAUAGACAUAUAUGAACGUACUAAAUCGUGCUCAUCUCUUGCUGAGUUCAAGCUUUACCUCUCUAGCAAGGAUUGGACUCGUUGUCAUUGCGUGCAUGGAAUUCACCAUGGAAUUUCUAACUCUGCCAUCGUGUUCCUUCAUUUGUUAAACAAUGACAUACCUCUCCAGAAUUGUGAACCUGAACUUUUGUCGUUCGUCCUCUUUAUGGAAUUAACAUAUGGUUACAUCUCAGCAUCGAUUUUGAAUAAAGGGCUUGAAUCGACGGUGAGAAAAAUUCAAACUUUAAAUUCUACUUGAAGUCCGAGUCGGCUUUAACCAGUAUCUGCCUUAUAUGUUUAGUGAUAACUGAUCUUGAUCAACUUUCUAGUGGAUAUUUAGUAAAGAGAAGUUUUCUCAAGAUUUGAAGAGCAACUGUUAAGGGGGAAUAUUCAUCUCGUCUACCUAGAAUGAACUCAAGAUGAUGUGAGAAAUGGAAUAGUUACUAAAGAUUCUGAGUUUCUUGCCUACUGUAUAACCUACUCCUUGUGUCCAUACAAUCGAACAAGUUGUGAUCUGGCAAUACUCCAUCAUGUAUGGAAGAUCAUGGUAUUACUUGUACUGGACUCAAAGCAUUUAGGAACAGGGCAUAGGAUAUACAUCCGAGAUAAAGUUCACGUUGAUAAGUCUUUUACAUAUAAUUAGUUAGGCAUAAAAGUCAGUUCGUAUGACAAUAAAAGAUUCACGAUGAGGAGUCUAUAUAAAUGAUUCGAGUGCCUUUCUCUAAUAAUCAUUAAACGUGAGACAAGCUAGCCGAGGUGUCGAUUUAUUUCUCUUUAGAUUUAAGUGUACGCAUCAAGGAGACUAGCUCUUGUGGUCAUGCAUAGCAUGCAAUAUUUAUAAAAUCAGACAUAAUCAAGUAACAGUAAUAAAAAACUCUUGCUUUGAACAGAUAUUAUGGAUGCCUAAUUCUCAUAAGCUCAAGUUAUAGAAAUUAUUGUUCUUUUGGAUAAUCGUUCGUAACAGUAAGAUUUUGUAGCAUCCUGUAAUGAAAUUCAUUGAUGCACCUCUCUCCUGUUAUGGAUCUCUAAAUUGUCCAAAAAGUUGAGUGCUCGUAUAUUUUGAAGACAACUUUUUUAUUCGCAUGUUGUUCAUAACAAUAAAGAUUUCAUGAACUUUGUUAUCAAGGAAAUUUGAUUUGUUUACUUAAAAGAGUCUUAAAGAGAUUGCAAUAAUAGAACAUCUCAUAUCUUGAGAACGAUCCUUGGCAUAAGAUGUAGAUUUGUCUGAGCAAAUACAAGAACUAACAUAAAUGAACAAUCUGUCAGAGAUUAAAUGUUUGAUAAAUCCUUUUUAAAAUCUGGAUAUAUAAUUAUUCUUGCUAUGGCCACAUAGGUUUGAAGGAAAAUUUGUUAUUACCUAUGUUGGUCACCUUAGAGGAAUCCCUUUAAAAUUCUUUUAAGGAUGAUUCCCUUUAAAAGUCUUGAUGGACUUGUCAUUUUGUGAAUUGUUGGGACAGAAGAAGGCUGCACAGUGUACUGUCGAAUUUUUCUCAAACUGUUUGUUGUAACCUACAAUUGUAUAUUCUUUUUUCUUCUUUUCGUUUGGAGCAAAGCAAUUACAUUCUAGCUGUUUCUCAACGGUGUGGGUUAAUGAUAAAUCUUUUUGCUCUUUCUCUAUGUAUUUGUUAUUUGUUAGUGAAUCUCUGGAUUAUUCUCAAAACUCUGGUGUUUAACACACUAUAUGACUUGGUAUAUGUCAUGGUCUUCAGAGAAAGCAACUUGAUAGCCGAUCUUACCUGGUGGAUCUGGUUCUUCUUUACUUUCUCUUUUUUUUUUCCUUCUUUCUCAAGAUUAAGCAAACAAGUACAAUCGAAGGGGCUGUUGAAGUUUCAGUCAACAGGGAAAUCUGCGUCAUGAUUUUGACUGUGUUCGAGGGGCUUUAUGAUUUUGGGCAGGAAAGGUGAAAAAUGUUUUGUACGAAAAGGGGAUUUGGAUUCACAAGAAGGAUACUUGUUCUCACAGGUGGAAGGCCUUGGUGACUCAAAUCAGCAUUCUAUUGCUAUUUUAAGGAAUUGGGAGAUGCUGCUUACCCAUUUUUUUGUUCACCAUGGAGAGAGAAUAUAGAUCUAAAGGGAGAAAAAGAAUAAAGAUAUAACUCAGAACUCUGUCUCAACUUGCACUUACGCGAUGCGGAGUGGGGCAUGUGCUAGAAGUUGCAUCAGCACCAACACAUUAAAACCUUAUGCAUGUUGGAGGUUGAGUUUGUGGAUGGCACAUUGCAUCUCAAUGUCAUUAGACCCUGAGCCAGGAAAUGUUGGAGGUUGAGUUUGUGGAUGGCACAUUGCAUCUCAAUGUCAUUAGACCCUGAGCCAGGAAAUUGCGAACCGAGGAAAGCACAACAUGUUUUUAUCAAGUUUCAGUCACGAGCGAUUUGGUGCCAAAUCCUGAAAGAUCGAUGAAGAAUGAGAUUUUAUGUUAGACAUUUUGCGCUUUCAUUACUCGUGUGAUACUGUAAUGCUCUAAUUUGUUAUAUUGGUGAACCAAGUCAAUGGAAGAUGGAUUUCUUCUGUAUAUGCUGCUAUAGUUUUGUCAAAUCGUGACACCAUGUGAGCGUAGCAUGAGUUUGGAUCACAUGUUGAAUGUUUUUACCGAGUCCAGGAAAUCCUAAAGCAUUGGAUUUGAGAUUUGUUCUGGUAGAACAAAAUGAGAUGGUUGUGGAUCUGACCGUGACGACUGAGGCCUAAUGCUUCAGCAUAUGAAACUCAUGGUCUAAUGUUUGCUGUGUCUUUUGGCUUUGACUUGGGAAUGUAUAUAGAAUCCAGAGGAUAUGCUUGCCAUAAGAUGAGAUUGUCUCAACUUGCUAUCCUCUUAUAUGUGCAACUGUUUCAAGUCCUUUGAUAUGCUGCUACAGUACAGUACAGUACAGUACAUUUGAUUCAGAAAAAAAUGAAAUGACCCAAGUUGCUGCAGAACCAGAUCAUCUAUUAAUUCCUGUGCCUGGUGAGGCCAAAUUUGGAUCGAUCGAGAGUACUUGGGAGUCAUCAGCUGUAUCUGCAAUGUCAGAUGUUCCAGGUCAUAUUGUGUUCCACCAGUGGUCAGCCGGGUCGAUUACUUUGCUACGGAACAGCAUAUCAUUCGGGGCUGGAUUCAGGAAAGGCCAAUGGAGUUCAACUCAUCGCAAAAGGUCCAAAGCAGUGUGCUCCAUUACCUUACCUUACAGCUGUUGGAAAGAUGAGGACAAAGACAAAGACAAUUAGGAUGGGAGGUGGAGGUGGAGGGCAUGGUACGAUGGGUCAAACCUCCUCGCUUUAUGCUUGCUCAGUGGCCAACACCAUGCUGCGAGCUGGUCGCCGGCCGGCUGUAGAAUGAGAAUUAGGUUGUGUCCUGCUCGACCAUUAAUCUGCAUCAGAUCAUAAGCUAGCCGAGCCGCAGUGAGCUUGCAGACAGCUUACCGGUCAUAGUCUGCGUUACCAAAUGUUGAUCGAGACGGUCACUGCAGAGAUGAGAAUUGUGGAGUACUUUUUACGUCGAACACGUGGGGACGUCGAGCAUAGGAGGGAGGAACCGCCCCUCCUCCUGCUGCGGAAGGAAGGUUGCCAAGAAGGUAAGCGCUAUGGUGUGGUUUGAGGAAGCUGCAAGUCAAGGAAGACAUGCACGCAUGAGCGAGGAAUCAAUGGAGUCGGUCAGGUGCCAAGUCAAAGAUGGAAACUGUUCUUGUGAUCUCACUUGUUCAGAAGCACGAAGGGUGUGAAGAAGAAGAAGAAGGAGGAGGGCGUAAAAGGAUUGAUGGCUGAUGGACUCAUUCCACUUUGACCAAAUGAACUGAAAUAUGUGUACAGACGAGCUAUGUUUCCUUCUUCUUGACUUUGCAACGGAGUUAGGUUGUCUAUGGCUGUUGAAAGUUGAUUCAAAGAUUUGACUCCAUCUGUUUGAGAGAGAGAGAGAGAGAGAGAGNNNNNNNNNNNNNNNNNNNNNNNNNNNNNNNNNNNNNNNNNNNNNNNNNNNNNNNNNNNNNNNNNNNNNNNNNNNNNNNNNNNNNNNNNNNNNNNNNNNNNNNNNNNNNNNNNNNNNNNNNNNNNNNNNNNNNNNNNNNNNNNNNNNNNNNNNNNNNNNNNNNNNNNNNNNNNNNNNNNNNNNNNNNNNNNNNNNNNNNNNNNNNNNNNNNNNNNNNNNNNNNNNNNNNNNNNNNNNNNNNNNNNNNNNNNNNNNNNNNNNNNNNNNNNNNNNNNNNNNNNNNNNNNNNNNNNNNNNNNNNNNNNNNNNNNNNNNNNNNNNNNNNNNNNNNNNNNNNNNNNNNNNNNNNNNNNNNNNNNNNNNNNNNNNNNNNNNNNNNNNNNNNNNNNNNNNNNNNNNNNNNNNNNNNNNNNNNNNNNNNNNNNNNNNNNNNNNNNNNNNNNNNNNNNNNNNNNNNNNNNNNNNNNNNNNNNNNNNNNNNNNNNNNNNNNNNNNNNNNNNNNNNNNNNNNNNNNNNNNNNNNNNNNNNNNNNNNNNNNNNNNNNNNNNNNNNNNNNNNNNNNNNNNNNNNNNNNNNNNNNNNNNNNNNNNNNNNNNNNNNNNNNNNNNNNNNNNNNNNNNNNNNNNNNNNNNNNNNNNNNNNNNNNNNNNNNNNNNNNNNNNNNNNNNNNNNNNNNNNNNNNNNNNNNNNNNNNNNNNNNNNNNNNNNNNNNNNNNNNNNNNNNNNNNNNNNNNNNNNNNNNNNNNNNNNNNNNNNNNNNNNNNNNNNNNNNNNNNNNNNNNNNNNNNNNNNNNNNNNNNNNNNNNNNNNNNNNNNNNNNNNNNNNNNNNNNNNNNNNNNNNNNNNNNNNNNNNNNNNNNNNNNNNNNNNNNNNNNNNNNNNNNNNNNNNNNNNNNNNNNNNNNNNNNNNNNNNNNNNNNNNNNNNNNNNNNCUGUUUGAGAGAGAGAGAGAGAGAGAGAGAGGACAAGUUCAUGUGUUUUGACUCCAACAAAAUGGUUCGUCAUCCCUCGAAAAAACAAACAUGGAAUGAAUGCAUUUGAUUUGAUUUGAUUCCCAAGGCUUAAAGUGGGAUGCAAUGAAAUUUCUUGCAGAGGAUUCAUGAAAAGUGGAGGAAGCUCAUCUUAGCACGCCCCCUCUGACCGUAUCUGUCCUCUCCAUUAUGAUUCGAGACAGACAUUACGUGAAUUGUUUUUGCGGUCACACUUGCAAAAACUCUUUACCGACAAGACAAAGACGAUAUGAUAACGUGAUGUUGUGCCAGCUAUUAGUCGUUGACUCUAUCCACUGAUGUCAUUGUCAUUUGCCCGAUUGCUACAGAAUACAUAAUUACAUUUUUAUAUUUGAUUUAUGUACCUUUCUAAAUUUCAGUUUAGUUUUUUUUUUUUUGUAUUACCAAAUCUAAUCUAUCUAUAUGUUCAUUCUCGGAUUUGUUCUUCUCCUCGCAGGACAUGCAUGUGCUGCCGUGCUACAUCAUCUCUAUAUCUAGUUCAUCAAGGUUUCUGCAAAGUCCAAUAUGACAUUGAAGAGCCUUCACUCCCACCAUGCAACAUUGACAUUUAAGUUAAAGUGCCUCUUAUUCAGAUUCUAUCGGCGAGUAGACCUUUUGACAUUUCAACCAACCAAAAAAAUAAAAUUAACACAAAUAAAAAGCACCUGAGAAAUCCAAAGAGAAGACGACAAUAUCCAACCAAGAAACAAAAUUAAUUCCAAGGCCCAUCGUCGAUGAGGUCAAAUGCUUACGGAAGAGUGUUUCUUGUUCUGAGCUGGCCUGUCCUAAUUAACCCAAUCGGACAAAUACCAUAUCACUCUCUCUCUCUCUCUCGGCCAGCCAACCCUCCUCCAUCUCCUUCGAGUCAUCCUGCGAUAGGGAUGAAGGGUAGAUGUACCGCUCCGCAUUGAUUCGACGCCACAAACGGCUCAUGGUGCCAUUGCAUCAUCAUUUAUGGGCUUUCUCUCGAGCUGCAUGCAUCCAUCCAUAAGUAUUCAAUUCACCUGCAAACUUCCCCUCCCCCAAACAAAAAAGUCCCAUCGAUUCCUAUUAUAUCACGUUGUAUUCAAUCAAAUCGAGUGUGUACAAAACCCAUGCACCUUUUUCUUUCUUCUUCCCGUCUCUCUACGGUCUUCUGGAUUCGCAAGUCAGCGGUUCCGGUGGAAAUCGGAUGCUUCGUCCAGCAACGGUGACGAUUAGGCGCACAUUGCCCUUGCGGCUUCCCGGUC
Molecule: long non-coding RNA, 36979 nt
Filed under: Musa acuminata (dwarf banana)
Lineage: Eukaryota; Viridiplantae; Streptophyta; Magnoliopsida; Zingiberales; Musaceae
Description: long non-coding RNA (MACU_LNC002958)
Source: RNAcentral